AAUGAGGCCUGAUUCGUUCAAGAGAAAGCAGUAGGCUACUACUUGUUAAUCACGGAUUUUGGCUGUGGGCCUUGAGCCCAGCUGCAGUUGCGAUGACAGAAGUGUAUUUGGGCCGUUAGAUGGAUCCAUCGGUGUGAUGGGCCUCCGUAACAUUUAAGUAAGGGGAGCUAUAGGGACUUUUCCCCAACCCUCAUGUUUGCGGGAUGGGAGAGGAAAGCGCAACUGUUGAUGGCGGCGCUGGUCGAUCGAUCCGGGAGGCGGAGCUGAUUUAACCGGCAGAUCGAAGGUGAGUUUGGGAACAGUUGGCAGCGCCGUCUUGUUUGAGGGAGGGAGGAUUUUAUCCCUAAGCUAUGGAUGGAGCGAUCUAGUGGAAGGGCAGUUGGAGGCUCCGAUCGGUGAAUCAGAAGGCUGGAGGAGAGGAGCUGCAUCACUGGCCUUAUCCGAUCAACGGUAGCGCGUACAGCGAGUCGGAUCCGAGAGCUUCAUUCCUAGAUCCUGUACUCGACUGAGAGAGGCUAACAGAUAUUUUCUUCUGCGCCUACACCCAACGACGACGCAUCACUCCACAGCUCACAACCAAUAAAAUGAGGACACACAUCAAGCUGCUAUCAAGCCACGCAUUGUCCUUCUCCUUCUAGCUGUCAUUUCCAUUUUGUAGGCUGGCAACAGCAAUCUUUACUGUUUUGACUUCUUCCUGAUGAGAACCGAUGUAUAAAUAUGGGAUUGCUAAAUAAGUCCCCAUAUUUUAUUUUGAACGUUUUAAUAUCAUUGUAAUAUUUGAGUUUGAUAAUGAAAAUGAUGUAAACGCUUCUUGAACAGUAAAAUAAAAUAUUUUAUAAGACACAAAAUUUCACAGAAUUUUCACAGAAUUUUCACACCUUAUUCAAAUGAACAUUAAAAACUGC
RNAcentral lists this long non-coding RNA (905 nucleotides) under Linum usitatissimum (flax). RNAcentral's name for it is "long non-coding RNA (LUSI_LNC008324)". The record is from RNAcentral. Lineage: Eukaryota; Viridiplantae; Streptophyta; Magnoliopsida; Malpighiales; Linaceae.